UACGUAGGGUGCGAGCGUUAAUCGGAAUUACUGGGCGUAAAGCGUGCGCAGGCGGUUUGUUAAGACAGAUGUGAAAUCCCCGGGCUUAACCUGGGAACUGCAUUUGUGACUGGCAAGCUAGAGUAUGGCAGAGGGGGGUAGAAUUCCGCGUGUAGCAGUGAAAUGCGUAGAGAUGCGGAGGAACACCGAUGGCGAAGGCAGCCCCCUGGGCUAGCACUGACGCUCAGGCACGAAAGCGUGGGGAGCAAACAGG
Molecule: ribosomal RNA, 253 nt
Filed under: uncultured bacterium
Lineage: Bacteria
Description: partial 16S ribosomal RNA
Rfam family: Bacterial small subunit ribosomal RNA
Source: RNAcentral